Long non-coding RNA from Sphaeramia orbicularis (orbiculate cardinalfish), 867 nucleotides. RefSeq lists it as uncharacterized. Lineage: Eukaryota; Metazoa; Chordata; Actinopteri; Kurtiformes; Apogonidae. The transcript is spliced from 2 exons. The record is from RefSeq and is a predicted model, not a curated record.
AUGCAUAGACAUGAUGACAUCAGCUGGAUUGAUGCCAAAAUAAAUUACAAUACGUGCGAGGGGCGGGGUUUGUUGUGCCUAGCACCACUUGUUAAUAUAAUAAUCCAUACGAGCUCUGAAAAAAUGUAACAGUUCACCCCUGAAAACGACGAGAAAAACAGACAUACAUUUUAAAAAAUACUGAAAUUAUCAUUGUUAAAAGAAGAUUAAUCAUUCAUUCCUUAUCUUAAGAACACUGCAGCCCAAUCUGAAAUCUAAAAAUCCUCUGCAGGUUAAUCACAACUCAGAUCAUCACAUGACUUAGAUAAUGAUUUCACUUGUAUAAUUUCAAUUGAUAAACAGAAUAGUUCUGUGAAUACUGCCCAAUGGCAAUUCAGUGCAAAUUAAUACUUCAUGCAACCUGUGAAACAACUAAUUAAAUGCAAAUGGGGAAAAAUAACACACUGUAUCCUCGCUGUUUGACACUGAUGAGAUAGAACACAUGGUCCAGAAGAGAAAAAAAGGUAAAUAAGUUUAAUAUGACAUUUAAACACUAUUUGUUUGUUUGUUUGUUUUUUUAUAUAACUGGUGGUAUAAAUGGUUCAGGCUUAAUUAUGAACCUGAACAUUAAAACCUUUAUUAUGAACGACCUCUGCAGUACAGCCUGUAAUACCACCACAGCCCACCAGAGAGCAUCAACCCACACUUUGGAAAUUUCUCCAUUUCUCACUUUCAUGAACACGAUGUCAAGUCACAUGAGACAAAUUAUAAAUACACAGAUUAUAGAGAAACCUACAUUCACAUGAGGUGCUCCACUCACCUGAAUGUUUUUAGAUGUUUUGUGUUAAUGAUGUCUGGCAUUUCUGUCAACAAGACAAACAGCAUUAU